Non-coding RNA from Camelina sativa (false flax), 1477 nucleotides. Lineage: Eukaryota; Viridiplantae; Streptophyta; Magnoliopsida; Brassicales; Brassicaceae. The record is from RefSeq and is a predicted model, not a curated record.
CAGUCAUCUAACUUUGACACUCAGUUUGAAAACAACCAUAGGAAUAAAAGAUGUUAACCUUGAUUAGUUUAAACUCAACAUAUAGCGUCAACAAAAGCAAUACAACUCUCUCUUCUCUCUUUUUUUUUUCUUUUGAUAACUCAGAAGUGAUUCUAAAGACUUUCUAGGCCCAAACACUAAUCUUCUGGAGCCGGAGGCCAAGUGGGCUCUUCUCUCUUCUCUCUCCCUUCUCUUUAAAAACCCUAGUCUUUCUUGCCGCCGUUUGCCUUUCCGGCUUGCCCUUCCAGCGCCGGAGAGGGCUCCUCUUUGUUUUUUAGUAGUCUCGCCGGCGUCUCUCUUUCCUUGAAUUUGCGGCUGUCCUCCGUCCGUUUCUGGGCUCAAGGUAGGUGGUUCCAGAGUAGAUCUGGCGUGUGGCAACGACGAGAAGCUUAUGGUGGUCGCCGGAGUUUCCUCGAGACUCGUGGGUGUGAGGACAGCUCCGAUCUGGGUGUUCUCUUCGGCAGAUCUGGGUUGAGCGUCUCGUCAAGCAUCGAUAGCUCCGGUGGGUUUUGGCUUUGAUGAGUGUCGGGGUCUGAGAUCUCCUCCUUGGAUGUUCUCAGAGAUCAGUUUCAGGUGUUCUUGGUCAUCAGUUUCGCAGAUCUCCCCUUCUCCAGUCAGUUCGGUUGAUUGCUUCUUCGUGUUUGGUUUCGUCAAGUGAGUAUGUUCUCGGCUGUGCUUAAGUGUAGAUCUUGGCAUACAACUAGAAGGCAGGGAUUCUUUUGGAUGGUGAGGAAACCCUAUGUGGUUUACUUUUGGUAGAAGAUGCCAGAGGUUUCCCGAAGGUGUUUUCUCGCAGCUCAACAUUCAAUUGACUGCUCGUCUUGGAGGUCAGUUCUAGAUCCCUUGGAUCUAGUAGGCGGUUGCGGGUUCCGAUUUUUAUCUUCUGGAUUGAGCAACCAGUAUUUUAGAGAUCGUCGCGUUUUACUUCUUACUCUGGACCAGUUGUUGGGUUCCUUGCUUGGAGAUAACAGAGAUCACCAUUUAUGGAGAUGGGGGUUAGCUCUCUGAGUGUGUUCGGUUGCUAGGCAUGGGACCGUCACUGUAGAGCCUGUUGUCGGUAGUUAGAACAGGCCCGGAGAUCUGUUCCGGGUCAGGUGAGACAUUGAAGGUUGAACCGGAGUUGGAUUUCGAAUGCUUCCGAUAAGGGUUCACUUCAGUGUCUCUGCCGCAAAGGAGUGGGUCUCGCAUUCGCCGGGAUUACUGUUCCGAUCACUGUUGCAGAGUGAAUAGUUCUCCGUUCGGGAUGGAAGGCACACUUCUUGAUUCAAACUCCCUAUUUUGUGAUGAACUUCGUGGCAAUGGAGUGCCCUGAUCGGUCAAAGGGGUUGAACUUCCUUGAGUAAUAGGGAAGGAAUGUUCAGAGUCAGCGAAGAGUGUGAGCUUGUGUUCGUACAAGAAGGUGACAACGAAGAUGAGAAGUGCCAGGAACGAAGCGAUG